UGCUUAUUCAAUAAUGAAAAAAUAUUAGUUUAUCAUGGUUUUUCCAUAUCUUCCCGUUCCUAAUUUUCUUCUUUCAGUUUACUAGUUUAUUUCGUCCGGACUUAAUCCUUUUCACUAAAUAGUGAACUCUUUAUGUACUUGAUCAUAUUCUUCCAUACCUUUACGAACAUGAGUUCAUUUUUGCCUGCACAAUUUGAUUAGUUUUAAAUACGCCCAACUUCAGUGUCCUGUGUAAAUAAGUUGACCGGUAAAGAAUAACGUAGAGAAAAAGCUUGACUAUAUUGAUCUGUGUAAGUUCUUAUGUGUCACAGCUCUGAAGUGAAACAUCUGAAUUCGAGGUUAUAGAUGGAGUUUCAGGUCUAGGUUGGAGCUAAGUAGAGUGGAAAUAACUGCCAAAAAUAAUUUGUUGUGUUUUAACUUUAGCCAUGUUAAGUGGUGGUACAAACUGCAAGUUAUUGAGUAUUUUCAAACUAUUUUUCAAGUGGAGAAGGGAAAGAGAAUGAAACAAAAGAUAAAAAGUCUAAUAUAUUUUUAGCCGUCUUUGAGUUUUUAGGAGGAAAAGAGAAAGACAAAUGAAUGAUAUAAAGAUUAAUAUUAAAAUGGAGUUGGAGCAUAUUAGAGAUUCAAUUUGUUGUCAAGCCUUGAAAUUGAUUUCUUCUGUAUAACUUGCAUUUUAAAAGGUAUAGUAUAUAUUCUCAUAUCCCUAGCAGAAAAUAUUCUAGUUAUCCUCAUGAAUAUUCUAUCAGGUACAACUAAUAUGAGAUCCCAUGCAACAAGUUGAGAUGGUUGGUGUCCCAGAAGAAUACUUGUUAGGCCAUGCUUUCCAUAUGUAUCACUUGACCUCACCAGAUGGAACUUAAACUACUGGACUGGGGGAAGAGGGCCACCGAAUGGAAGCUGAAAUAGUAUCACUACGGGCAGCGUUUACUCAAAGAGUUCAGCGUGUCAUAAACUUGACCAUCCUAAUGUAACCAAGGUGACGUUAAAACUCUUCAACUUAUAGUAUGUAGAACGUGUUUAGAGCUUGUUGAAUAUUAUUGCUUGUUCUUUAAAAUUCGUAGUUUUUAGAGUACAAUCUCAUCUACACAAUAGGCAUUGCGAUUGGAAGCACUUUACUUGGAGAAAUAGAAAGAACAUGUAUUGCACGUGUAAACUCUGAGAAAGUCCCACAUGAAUAUUCUACCAUAACGGGCAUUCAAGAAUCGGUACAUUAAGUGAUUCUUAUACUAAUCAUCCUUGUUUACCUGAGAUAAUUAUUCACCAAUAUAGCAGAAACCUGUGGUUGGCAUUGACUUGGUGAUGUCAAUCUAGAUGAAGAACUUAGUGAUAGAAGUUGAAAUAGCACUGAUUGUAUAUGUGAAAAUAACAACUGCAGUAGGGCCUUCCAUAGUGUUUGCCUGAAAAACAAUACGAGGCAUACAAAUAGCCAUUAUUGUUGGAACUGUUGCAUCAUUUCUUGCCUGGCCGACUAAACUCAUAAAAUGCAGAUUGCGCCGCACGAGAAGUUCUAGAAAAUUCUGUUAUGUUUGGAGUAUACGAAGCAUUAAAGCAGUAUUUUGCAGGAGGCAUGGAUACUUCUAGUGUUGUUGUUCAGUGAAGAAGGUUACGAGAAGGUCCAAGACUUGCUGCUUUUGGAUUUACAUUACUAGCUUGUUGUAAAGAUUUUUUUUGUGAUGUGUAUAUCAUUGUGUAUUAUAAUUUAUUAUAUAUGUAAUACUAAUUUAUAUAGUUGCAUAAAAUUUUAA
Long non-coding RNA from Capsicum annuum, 1745 nucleotides. RefSeq lists it as uncharacterized. The transcript has 2 exons. Lineage: Eukaryota; Viridiplantae; Streptophyta; Magnoliopsida; Solanales; Solanaceae. The record is from RefSeq and is a predicted model, not a curated record.